AAGACCUGACUUUCUUAGUAUAAGCAUUAUACCGUGAAACUGCGAAUGGCUCAUUAAAUCAGUUAUCGUUUAUUUGAUAGUACCUUACUACUUGGAUAACCGUGGUAAUUCUAGAGCUAAUACAUGCUAAAAACCCCAACUUCGGGAGGGGUGUAUUUAUUAGAUAAAAAACCAAUGCCCUUCGGGGCUCCUUGGUGAUUCAUGAUAACUUCUCAGAUCGCAUAGCCUUGUGCUGGCGACGGUUCAUUCAAAUUUCUGCCCUAUCAACUUUCGAUGGUAAGGUAUUGGCUUACCAUGGUUUCAACGGGUAACGGGGAAUUAGGGUUCGAUUCCGGAGAGGGAGCCUGAGAAACGGCUACCACAUCCAAGGAAGGCAGCAGGCGCGCAAAUUACCCAAUUCCGAUACGGAGAGGUAGUGACAAUAAAUACUGAUACAGGGCUCUUUUGGGUCUUGUAAUUGGAAUGAGUACAAUUUAAACCUCUUAACGAGGAACAAUUGGAGGGCAAGUCUGGUGCCAGCAGCCGCGGUAAUUCCAGCUCCAAUAGCGUAUAUUAAAGUUGUUGCAGUUAAAAAGCUCGUAGUUGAACCUUUGGCCUGGCUGGCAGGUCCGCCUCACCGCGUGCACUUGUCCGGCCGGGCCUUUUCUUCUGGAGAACCGCAUGCCCUUCACUGGGUGUGUUGGGGACCAGGACUUUUACUUUGAAAAAAUUAGAGUGUUCAAAGCAGGCCUUUGCUCGAAUACGUUAGCAUGGAAUAAUAGAAUAGGACGUGCGGUCCUAUUUUGUUGGUUUCUAGGACCGCCGUAAUGAUUAAUAGGGACAGUCGGGGGCAUCAGUAUUCAAUUGUCAGAGGUGAAAUUCUUGGAUUUAUUGAAGACUAACUACUGCGAAAGCAUUUGCCAAGGAUGUUUUCAUUAAUCAGUGAACGAAAGUUAGGGGAUCGAAGACGAUCAGAUACCGUCGUAGUCUUAACCAUAAACUAUGCCGACUAGGGAUCGGGCGGUGUUUCUAUUGUGACCCGCUCGGCACCUUACGAGAAAUCAAAGUGUUUGGUUUCUGGGGGGAGUAUGGCCCAC
Molecule: ribosomal RNA, 1076 nt
Filed under: Pleosporales sp. zzz714
Lineage: Eukaryota; Fungi; Ascomycota; Dothideomycetes; Pleosporales
Description: SSU rRNA
Rfam family: Eukaryotic small subunit ribosomal RNA
Source: RNAcentral